Non-coding RNA from Doryrhamphus excisus (bluestripe pipefish), 721 nucleotides. The record is from RefSeq and is a predicted model, not a curated record. NCBI's taxonomy places the organism in Eukaryota, Metazoa, Chordata, Actinopteri, Syngnathiformes, Syngnathidae.
ACAAAAAGGAGUUCAUCAGGGGCAAGGAGUGGAAGGUUUUACACUGGCCGAGUCAUUCUCCAGAGUUAAACCCCAUAGAGCAUCCAUUUUACCAGCUGAAGAGGACACUGAAGGGAGUAACCCCCCAAAGCAAACAACAACUGAAAGAUGCUGCAGUGGAAAGCCUAGUAAAGCAUCACAAAAAAUGCACACAGCAAAUUUCUAGAGUUGAAAAAUCUGGAGUUAAAGCAAAAAGAGUGAAAGAGUUGAAUUUUUGAACCCUGACUACCAUUGUGUUAAGGACGACUACCAGACGGUGUCGUCUUUUGGAGUUGAUUCCAUGGGUGUUCAGGGACCUGCACACACAACCCCAGAGUUGCUCAAGAUAGUAAAAGUAGAACGUGGAAGAAAGAAGAAGUAUGUCAAAAUGGAAGAAGCAUGCUUCUCACAUUUUCUCAGUGCAGUUCAGCAGAGGUUUCUUAUCCCGUAGAGCACAGCACUGGAAGUCACAGACCACCAGGCCAUAGAAGUGGAUGAGGACGUCUUUCCUGAAGUUGCAACAAUCAAAGACAUGUUUUGUCAUCUAUACUGAUGAGGAGUUUGGUGAUGGCUCCAACCUGACUGACUCUCACUACGUGACUCACUACAUUCACUACAUGUGAAUGUGGAGCAAAUCCUCAACUCCAGGCCGGCAGGGAUGACUGUGAUAAAACAAUACAUAAAUAAAUCAAAUAAAACUGUC